Brassica oleracea var. oleracea is the source of this 483-nucleotide long non-coding RNA. RefSeq lists it as uncharacterized. The record is from RefSeq and is a predicted model, not a curated record. Lineage: Eukaryota; Viridiplantae; Streptophyta; Magnoliopsida; Brassicales; Brassicaceae. The transcript has 4 exons.
GCCGAUGUCGCCGCUGCAUCUCCUCGCCGAUCCAUAGCCACCACCACCGCGAGACCCGUUGGCUUCCAUCGCGUGGCCAAUCCUGCUUCGUCUUCUUCCGUCAUCCAUCGUUGUUUCAGCUCUAAAUCAGUGGAGACAAUAGCGAAGAAGGAGGUGGAGGAUGUUAUGCCCAUUGCAACUGGACACGAGAAGGAGGAGCUUGAAGCUGAACUUGAGUGACUAUCUGUUCAAGCUUUCGCUUAUUGGUGACUCUGGUGUUGGAAAAUCCUGCUUGCUUCUAAGGUUUGAUAUUUUUGCAGGUGGAGCCAAGGUCACAAGAAGAAACAGAGCAUGUGACACAAAAAAAAUAGAGCCAUGUAUUCUGUAACCAGAGUCUUCACGUUUGUGAUCAGUGAACUCUUACCAUUUCUUUAUUAAAGAUUUUGUAUUCUCUUUUACCAUUUCACUGAGAAGAACAAGUGCUGAGUUAUUUUGUUUUUCUUA